This 497-nucleotide ribosomal RNA is filed under the name uncultured bacterium. RNAcentral describes it as "partial 16S ribosomal RNA". It matches the Rfam family "Bacterial small subunit ribosomal RNA", at positions 28 to 507 of the family's 1533-position model. The record is from RNAcentral.
GAUGAACGCUGGCGGCGUGCCUAAUACAUGCAAGUCGAGCGAACAGGUAAGGAGCUUGCUCCUUUGACGUUAGCGGCGGACGGGUGAGUAACACGUGGGUAACCUACCUAUAAGACUGGAAUAACUCCGGGAAACCGGGGCUAAUGCCGGAUAACAUGUUGAACCGCAUGGUUCUACAGUGAAAGGCGGCUUUGCUGUCACUUAUAGAUGGACCCGCGCCGUAUUAGCUAGUUGGUGAGGUAACGGCCCACCAAGGCAACGAUACGUAGCCGACCUGAGAGGGUGAUCGGCCACACUGGAACUGAGACACGGUCCAGACUCCUACGGGAGGCAGCAGUAGGGAAUCUUCCGCAAUGGGCGAAAGCCUGACGGAGCAACGCCGCGUGAGUGAUGAAGGUCUUCGGAUCGUAAAACUCUGUUAUUAGGGAAGAACAAAUGCGUAAGUAACUGUGCGCGUCUUGACGGUACCUAAUCAGAAAGCCACGGCUAACUACGUG